AAUUGUUAAAGAGCCGCGGUAUCUUGACCGUGCAAAGGUAGCAUAAUCAUUAGUUUCUUAAUUAGAAGCUUGUAUGAAGGAUCGGACAAAGGAAAGGCUGUCUCUAUUAUAAAAAUUGAAGUUGACUUUUAAGUGAAAAGGCUUAAAUGAUUCUAGGGGACGAUAAGACCCUAUAAAGCGUUUUAUUGGGGCGAUAUAGGUAUAAUUAUUAACUACUUAAUAGUUAAUACACUGAUAGGUGGAUUGAUCCUUAAUAGAGAUUAAAAGACUAAGUUACUUUAGGGAUAACAGCGUAAUUUUUUUUGAGAGUUCAUAUCGAAAAAGAAGUUUGCGACCUCGAUGUUGAAUUAAAAUGUCUAUAUAAUGCAGGUGUUAUAUAAGAAGGUCUGUUCGACCUUUGAAAUUUU
RNAcentral lists this ribosomal RNA (407 nucleotides) under Ozius rugulosus. RNAcentral describes it as "partial 16S large subunit ribosomal RNA". It matches the Rfam family "Bacterial large subunit ribosomal RNA", at positions 1915 to 2597 of the family's 2925-position model. Lineage: Eukaryota; Metazoa; Arthropoda; Malacostraca; Decapoda; Oziidae. The record is from RNAcentral.